Molecule: long non-coding RNA, 306 nt
Organism: Harpegnathos saltator (Jerdon's jumping ant)
Lineage: Eukaryota; Metazoa; Arthropoda; Insecta; Hymenoptera; Formicidae
Exons: 3
Source: RefSeq, a predicted model, not a curated record
GAGAGAAAGAGAGAAAGUAAUUAACAAGGAAACACAGAAAUAUCCUCUUCCGAUUUGGGUAACGUAACGAGGGAGCUACGAAACAUUUCAGCAACGAAUUUCCAACAUGCUUUGGAGCGGCUAGUGGAGUGCACCGAACGAUGUAUAGCUUUAUAAGAAUGUGUUACGUUCUGGAGGAGGAACGUAACUUGACGCUCGCUUUCACAAGCUCCGAUGUACUCGCAAGUCUGCGGUGCAGGUCAAGGAUCGGAAUGACCCCUUUAUCUGGCGCGGACGUACGUCGGUGGUCCUUUAUUUAGGCCAAGG